Molecule: unclassified non-coding RNA, 345 nt
Filed under: soil metagenome
Description: partial contains 5.8S ribosomal RNA, internal transcribed spacer 2, and large subunit ribosomal RNA
Rfam family: 5.8S ribosomal RNA (bases 1-119)
Source: RNAcentral
GAUGAAGAACGUAGCGAAAUGCGAUACGUAAUGUGAAUUGCAAAUUCAGUGAAUCAUCGAGUCUCUGAACGCACAUUGCGCCCCCUGGUAUUCCGGGGGGCAUGCCUGUCCGAGCGUCAUUGCUGCCCUCAAGCACGGCUUGUGUGUUGGGCCCCGUCCUCCGAUCCCGGGGGACGGGCCCGAAAGGCAGCGGCGGCACCGCGUCCGGUCCUCGAGCGUAUGGGGCUUUGUCACCCGCUCUGUAGGCCCGGCCGGCGCUUGCCGAUCAACCCAAAUUUUUAUCCAGGUUGACCUCGGAUCAGGUAGGGAUACCCGCUGAACUUAAGCAUAUCAAUAAGCGGAGGA